AUAAGCCCAUGUCUUAUCUUUUUAGUAUUACUUAUCCCAAAUACCUCCGUGAUUGAUAGGAUCGGGACGAGUAAUGGCACGCAAUAGGUAAACGAGACCAUUCUGCACUUUAAUACCUUAACAUGGUGGGAAGGGUAGAUAUGGAUAUGAUGACCGAUGCGCUAAUACCACGUGUAGCCCCUUUCUGAUGAGUGAUUACCGAGUAUUGCAUUGACGUGAUCCAUAUUAUUUAUAAACCUAGGACCCUCCUCCAUUUACUCUUUUAUUCCUUAAACCUUGAAAAAUAUUUCUUCUAAAUCAACUCUCUUCUUUGCUUUCCAACUUUGUUUAUUUCUGAC
Molecule: long non-coding RNA, 338 nt
Filed under: Nicotiana benthamiana
Lineage: Eukaryota; Viridiplantae; Streptophyta; Magnoliopsida; Solanales; Solanaceae
Description: long non-coding RNA (NBEN_LNC010012)
Source: RNAcentral